ACCCGCUGAACUUAAGCAUAUCAGUAAGCGGAAGAAAAGAAACUAACUAAGAUUGCCCCAGUAGCGGCGAGUGAACAGGCAAAAGCUCACAUUGAAAAUCCUUGGCACAAAGUUAAGGAAUUGUAAUCUAGAGAGGUAUUCGGAGGGGAUGUGGUUAGCAUAAGUCUCUUGGAACAGAGCGUCAUAGAGGGUGAAAACCCCGUAGUUGGCUACCCACGGAUCUAACGAGUGCUUUCAAAGAGUCGGGUUGUUUGGGAUUGCAGCCCUAAAUGGGAGAUAAACUUCUUCUAAAGCUAAAUAUUUAUGGGAAACCGAUAGCGAACAAGUACUGCGAAGGAAAGGUGAAAAGAACUUUGAAAAGAGGGUUAAAAGACUUGAAACUGUUGAGAAGGAAGUGGUAAAAGGGUAAUUAUUUGUGUAAGAUGCAAGCUUCGCUUCCUUUUCUUUGCCAGGCUUUAGUUCUUCAUAGGCUGUGUUUGGUAAACGGAGAGUAGUUGAGUGGUUUUCUUAUGCAAGAAGCAAAAUGAAGUUUGUCUAUGGGAAUAAACUAGYGRGAAGCACCUUCUCYCGGGAAGGAAACUAUUAGCGAAACCAUAGAGGAGCUUGAGGGGCCUGAGGGCGAUUUUGCUAAAAUGACUUUUACCGUCCCGUCUUGAAACACGGACCAAGGAGUCUAUCCAAUAUGCGAGUGUUAGGGUGGAAAAACCCGAACGCAUAAGGAAACUAAGGACAAGUUGUUAACAACAACAGCCGACCUUGCGUUUUUGACAAMGGGCUCGAGCAAGAGCAUAUUUGAUAGGACCCGAAAGAUGGUGAACUUCGCUUGAGUAGGGUGAAGCCCAGGGGAAACUCUGGUGAAAGCUCGAAGCGGUACUGACGUGCAAAUCGUUCGUCAAACUUGAGUGAAGGGGCGAAAGACUAAUCGAACCAUCUAGUAGCUGGUUCCCUCUGAAGUUUCUCUCAGGAUAGCAGGAACAAUAUAGCAGUUUUAUUAGGUAAAGCGAAUGAUUAGAGGAAUCGGAGCUCAAAGAGUUUUGACCUAUUCUCAAACUUUAAAUUGGUAAGAACCGGAGGUUAACUUAAGUGAACCUUUGGGUAGAAUGCUUGUUCCUAGUGGGCCAUUUUUGGUAAGCAGAACUGGCGAUGAGGGAUGAACCUAACGCUUAGAUAAGGUGCCUAAAUCUGCAUUCAUGAGAUCCCACAAAAGGUGUUGAUUCAUUUAGACAGCAGGACGGUGGCCCUGGUAGUCGGAACCCGCUAAGGAGUGUGUAACAACUCACCUGCCGAAUGAAUUAGCCCUGAAAAUUGAUGGCGCUGAAGUGCAGUACCGAUACUAAGCCAUUACAGCAAAUGUGAGGCUGUGAUGAGUAAGAGGGCGUGUCCGUUAGUGUAGAAGCCUUUGGCGUGAGCCUGGGUGGAACAGCGGAUAGUGCAGAUCUUGGUGGUAGUAGCAAAUAUUCAAAUGAGAACUUUGAAGACCGAAGUGGGGAAGGGUUCCAUGAGAACAGCAAUUGGUCAUGGGUUACUCGAUCCUAAGGCAUAGGGCAAGUCCUUGGAAUGCAAUACAGCGUACGCUGUAGCUGCCAAAAGGGAAAGGGGUUAAUAUUCCUCUAGUUGGCUGUGGAUAAAGUGUGGCAACACAAAUAAGCCUGCAGACAUCAGCAUGUCUCCCUGGAAGAGUUGUCUUUUCUUUUUAACUGUUUAUAACCCUGAAAUUGGAUUAUCCAGAGAUAGGGUUGUAAGACAGGCAGAGCAGCUCACUCUAUGAGCUGUCAGGUGCAGUCAUGAUGAUCCUUGAAAAUGCAGGGGAGAUAUUUAUAUCACACCAAAUCGUACCCAUAACCGCAUCAGGUCUCCAAGGUU
This 1863-nucleotide ribosomal RNA is filed under the name Uronema sp. WS-2012. RNAcentral describes it as "eukaryotic LSU rRNA". It matches the Rfam family "Eukaryotic large subunit ribosomal RNA", at positions 23 to 1875 of the family's 3401-position model. The record is from RNAcentral. Lineage: Eukaryota; Ciliophora; Oligohymenophorea; Philasterida; Uronematidae.